UUUUUUUAAAUUUAAAUUUUAAUUCAAUUGAAAAUUAUUUUAAAUUUAAAAAUUACUCACAGAACUUAAUGCAUUCUUUAAAAAAAAAAGAUAAAUUACAGAAAAUUUCCAUGUCAAUAUCCGUCUUUUUACUUUUCUCCUCUAUCGUUUAAAAACAUACAGUUUAUCCCUUUGUAAAAUAAAAAAUGUUCACUUUACCUUCUGUCGUUAGUGUCCCAUUUGGAAUCCGUUUAUAAAAUAUUAUUAUAUAUUUUUUAUACUAAAAAUACCCUCAGCCUCCUCUUCUGCGGCCUCGCCCUUCUCCGCCUCGCCGCCUCGCCCUCCUCCGCUGCCUCGUCCUUCCUCCGCUGCCUCGUUCUUACCCACAUUUCCCUUCGCGCCCACAAACACCCCCUCUUCCUCCUCCGCCGCCUCACCUUCGCCCUCGUUGCCUUUGCCCACCUCUCCAUCUAUGCCCAUCUUAAUUUCCUCCCUACUGUUGUCGAAAUGGAGGGGCGAUGAUGGUGCAAGAGAAGAAGGGGAGCAGGUGGAGAAGAAAAUGGAGAGAUCGACCGCAGAUGAGCAAGACGAGGGAGGAGACGAAAAUGGUGAGAAACAAAUUAGUCAUUUUGUCAUCAUAGUUCACACCGUACCCCUCUAUGAACAUUUUUUAUUUUAUAAGGGAGCAAAGUGUAAGUUUUUAAAUGACAUAAGGGAAAGUUAAAAAACAGAUAUUGAGAGGGUUUUUAUGUAAUUUAACCAAAAAAAAAACUGG
Molecule: long non-coding RNA, 754 nt
Filed under: Ananas comosus (pineapple)
Lineage: Eukaryota; Viridiplantae; Streptophyta; Magnoliopsida; Poales; Bromeliaceae
Description: long non-coding RNA (ACOM_LNC016172)
Source: RNAcentral